UAGGUAGUUUCAUGUUGUUGGGGUUGGCUUCCUGGCUCGGCAACAAGAAACUGCCUUGA
MicroRNA precursor from Acanthochromis polyacanthus (spiny chromis), 59 nucleotides. NCBI's taxonomy places the organism in Eukaryota, Metazoa, Chordata, Actinopteri, Pomacentridae. The record is from Ensembl.